This 4782-nucleotide unclassified non-coding RNA is filed under the name Leishmania donovani. RNAcentral's name for it is "gene:LdHU3.18.0460(CDS-product:hypothetical_prote in_conserved)". Lineage: Eukaryota; Euglenozoa; Kinetoplastea; Trypanosomatida; Trypanosomatidae. The record is from RNAcentral.
UCUAGAACGUAACAAGAGGAGAAACACAGAGACGAAAAGGUGGACUGGCGCACGUUGCGUGCACAGUUACCGUAAUCACCACUACUCACUCUUGCAUGGCUGUCACAGGCUCCCUGUCUUUAGCUAUUCGUGUUUGUGCUCCCGUUUACCCGUGCAGAGUGGUUGUCUCCUCAGCGACUCGUGCGUAACGAACGAAGGCCACCUGGCCCCCUUGGCCGAGGGAUUCCACGGAGGCUUGCCUGACGCCAUAACCUCUCUGCACUGUCGUUACCGGCGUAGCCUUUUCAUCCGGCGCUCGUCAUUCACUCCCCCGCGAGGGGUGCUCUGGUGCGAGACCCCACACGGCGACAACGGUAAGGCCGUGAGCUCCUCUGUCUUUUCCUGCUGGCGUGGGCUCUCUCACUGGACGACGGCAGGGGGUCUUCGCCGCCACGCUCCUCCUUCCGACUCUCCGCACCACGCCUCGGUCACAGCUGAUCUCGAAGACCUCACACGUCUUUUUGCCUGCCUUUCCUUUUCUAUUGUGGUGCACACAAGCGCGAGCCAGUGGCGUGGCGGGCUGCGCAUACGCGACGCUGUCGCCGUGAGCGUUGACACCCACAAAACAUCUCGACACACGCACGCCUGGAGCCGACCCGAACAGUGGUGGCCGUACAGACAUAAGAAGGGAGAGAGGGAGCAGAGGUGUAGAGGGGGGAGGAGGUGCAGAAAACGAACGAACCGCACUGAAACGGCGCGUGCUUGACUAGACGCGUGGCGCACGUAUACGUCGGCGCGUGCCUGUGCUGUCAGCAGGGCGAGGAGGCGGCGAAUUGCCCGCACGUUUCCGUUUGUGCGUGGGCGUGUGUCCACUUGCUCUUUCUGCUCAAGUCAUGAAUGGUGGUCCUCGACUUUCACCUGACGGUGACGGCUCCGGUGGGCCGCCGACGGUACCGAUGCCCUUCUCCUUGAGCAGUAGCAUCCGGAAUGGUGUGGGCACCAGCGGCGGUCAGGACGCCCGAUACCUGGUUAACACGGGCUCAUCCUCAGCUGCUGCGUCGUCGUACGGGAUUGAACGACCCAGCGCGACGGAGCUCAAUGACGGCGUCAUUGAGCGACUCAGCGAGUUGGCGACGGCAGCGCUCAGCUCGCCGGAUAAGGAAACACGCGACAGUGCGGCACAGCAGCUCCUGUUCCUUAGCAGCUACGAGUACUGGGACACGCUUCGCGUCCUCUUGCCACGUGCACAGAACAAUUACCUGCGCUUUAUUGUGGUGAAAGGCCUGCUGUUUCUUGUGAGCAACGAGCUGGGGCCGCAGGAGCGGACGGAGAUGCAGCAGUACGUGCUCGAGUACCUCCAGGAACGCCGGCGCUGCGGCGAGAAGCUGCCCUUCUACCUGUCCAACGCUCUCUUCUCAGUCUAUGCGUCGGCGCUGUUCAGCAACUGGAAAAUCUCCAUCAUUCGCGCGGAGUCGGCGGAGAUGGUGGACUCGAGCGAGAUGGCGCAGAGCAUCUUCUCCAAGCUUGAGGCGUACCUCACCACAGAGGAGACACUGGACUGCGUGCUGGAGAUACUCACCUUCUUUGCGCGGCAGAAUUCGCGGCUCAGCAUCUUGUCUGUGAAGAGCAGCUUCGCGAAGCAGGUGCUGCCCUUCUUCUUUAGCGCGGCAGCAAAUAUGCUGUCGAGCGCGCCGGAGAAGGCGGCUCUGGUGUGCAGCACGGCCCUCGAGUGCGCGCCGGAGUUGGAGGCGCCGCUGGUGCGGCUGCACCACCCCUCCGACACCUCCAUCACGGUUCUGCGGUGGCCGGCGUGGGCCCCGGCGCUGUCGCAGGUAAUGAACGCGUGCGGCCAGGCGCUCCUCAACCAUCCAGAGGGUCCGUGCGCUGCGCUGUACUCGCGCCUGCUGCGCCAGUGCUCCACCGUGACGAGUCCGCAGGAGGAGUACAUUGCCAGUCGUGAUGACGUGGCGAAUGUGCUGCUGGACGUGUCGGGCCGACUCCUGCUGAAGGUGCAGGAGAAUCCAGAGAGGACGGAGCUGCUCCGGUUGGCCUGUGCGCUGCUCGUGAACACGUUUGAGCGAAACGACGAGACGACGGUGGCAUACCUGGCGCGCGACCCCGGUGUGAUUCGCGUCUGGGCGGAUGCAGCACGCUACGUCCUUGGCCGCCCGUUUGACGAGGAGGAGGCUGACCUGCGCCAGGCGCUGCUGCACCUCUUCUUCAUGAUUGCGGAGCGCAUGCUACCACCCAAACCGCGCGGUGGCCGCGGCCUCGACGAGUCGUUCACCGGGCAGUACGGCGCAUGCACACCGCCGCGAACGCGAGAGGGCUGCUUGGUGGAGCAGGGCUUCUCCGCGGAGCGCGUGGGGCGCCAGGUACAACCGCAGCCGCACACGUCGCCGCCCUCGGCCCCUCGCGGACCGCUCUCCACCGAAUGCACCCGGGAGGUGGAGCAGCAGGUGAUUGACAUCUUCAGCACGUACGUCGACCUCGUCAUCAACACGGCGCAUGAGCGGGAGGAGUCGCAGGAGCUGCGCACCGGCCCCACCUUUGUGCUACAAACGGAGCGGAUACUGCAGCCAAUUGCCGAGGUGCUCUUCUGCGAGCGCAUCGAUCUCCUGCCGCAGCUGGUUGACCGCCUGCAGCAGACAAUUCACCAGUACGAGCUGUGUGUCCGCGCGCGUGGGGAGCAGCAGGUAACCAUGCAUAGUUCUGCCGCCGCCAGCGGCGGCGGCAGCGACGGUUUCGGCUUGAGCGCGCGGUCGCUGCUGCAGGAGCUGUACAUGACGCUGGCGGUGCAGAACAUGAGCGUGGGCGCGGCGCUGAGCUGCCCAGCGGAGACUGCGGAGUCCACGCCGCUCUUCUUUACGUACGUGUGCCUUUCCCGCCUUUCCGUGAUCGUCUCCAUCUUUGCCAUCGCGCUGCUGCAGGGGACGGCGAGCCGCGAUGACUCCGUGCUCGGUGCCAUCGCAUCCUUUGCGCGCCAGCUCUUGGGGCAAGAGGACCAGGUGACGGAGAAUCUGCUGCAGUGCCUGUCGCUCCUGGACGACGGCAACGACGACUUGAACGGCUUCGGUGGAGCUACAACACCUGCAGUGCCGACCUCUUCCGGCCCCGCAGCCCAGGUGCACAUUGGCAUCUUGCGUUCGCUCUUCUUUUUCUGCGGCUGCGUGUACGAGACGAACCUGUCGCGCCGCGAGGAGUUCUACGACAUCACCGUGAAUCUGCUGUGCUACGUGUACCGUUACCACAGCGAUCAGGUGGCGCUGGUGGUGGACGCGAACGUCCUGCUGACCCGCAUCGUCGACUUCGGCUCCAGCGGCACCUUCUUCCUCGGCGCGGGGAAGCUGAUGGGCCUUAUCGAGGCUGUCAAGGAGGACCAGCUGCCGCUGCUGCAGACGCCGUCGACGCCGCAGUUCGGCGCUGUUGACCUACGGCUGCCGAGCGAGGUGGCGGAGGCGCGCCACGGAUUUCUCACCGCCUUCACGUUUUACGUGGAGACGCGCUACUACGCCGGCUUCCCAAUCGCAGAUGUCAUCAGCACCCUGACGGAGCGCUGCUUCGACGACGCCCGCAUGCAGGUGAACCCGCGCCUCAGCUUUCAGGACCUGAAGGCAAUCACGAAAGGCAUACAUCAACCUGACACGCUGCAGCUGAUGCUGGAGUCGAUCAUAAGACACAAAGAUGUCUGCUGGGCCGUCGUCCGCUACGAGGCGGCGGCGGCGCCGGACAUGAUCGCGUGGCUGUCGGUGCUGUGCAGCCGCAGUUGCCAGUACAUGGACGAGGAGAACUUGUCCACGACGCAGUGGGAGCUGACGAGCUUUGUGAUGAACGUGCUGUGCUGCUACUUCAGCUACCUGUCGUACCCUUCAUCACCCAUGACCACUGCCAGCGACGGCACCCCCGCCUUUGGCGCCCCAGCAAGCGCCGACGGAGGUGGCAUGCUCCCUGAAACCGCCGACUCGUCGCUUGUCAUGAACGGGGGUAGCACGUCGACCUUCUUCUCCUUCCCGGCCGAUGCCGUCGAGGCGGCUGUCGUCUACGACGUGUCCGACAUCCUCAACACAUUCUGCUCGGCGCCGUGGUGCAACCUGGGCAUCGUCCUCUAUUACGAGCGUGCCACUGUCGAGCAUUUCUUCUGCGGCGCUGUGGAACUGCUCACGACGACAUCGGUGCAGUUGCUCAUGUCGGAAGAAGGCCGCACGCGUGUCUUCAACGCGAUGUCGGCCGCUGUCAACUCCUGCGGCCACACCUUUCAGCAGCUGCACCUCCUGUACAUGCGCCAAGGGGUGUGGAACCGGCUCGUGCGGCAGCUAACGAAGUGCCUCAGCUACAUGUACGCCCCGGACCUGAUUGACAUUCUCUACGCCAUUCUCCGUGGCAACCACCAGGCUCGGCAGCGCGUGCCGCAUUAUAAGGGCUUAGAGGAGUACACUCUCGCUGCGACCUUCAACGAGAUCUGCACACUUGUGGCCGUGGCGCCGCACCUGACGUACCGCGAGAUGUCGGCGUGCUUUGGGCUGCUGCAGAUGUGCUACGACGGCGCCAAGAUGCUGUGCGGUGAGUACGCAGACAGGCUGCUGGACCUCUGCUCCGCCUACCACCGGGUGCGUCUGCGACUCAUCAUCAACUCCCUCCGCCGCGGCGACGGCGCGCACCUGAUGACGGAGUACAUGACAUAUUUUGGACAGUCGUCCAACGUUGGGGUGCUGACGGCGUGGUAGGAUGCGGCGGGGCGGCCGUUGCCAGAGUGUUGCUGUUGAUGCCAGUGCUGGUUGUUGAUGAGGUUGAUUGCUUACAUAG